CCGUCCCCACCUCCGCGUCCUGUCCCCCCACCACCACCAGGGGCCAUCCGGCUUGGGCUUCCCUGUGGAACACCACCUAUGGAUCAUACAAGCAACAUCUCAAGACAUCAACCAUGAAGGGGAAGUUGAAGCUGAAGUGGGUCCCUCAGCACACCACCACGUCAGUCACAAAGAGGCUGACGGACAACAAAGUCCAUGUUUCAGAGAGUCCAUCGCAGAGUCCUGGUCUCAGUGCCAGAGAACUAUAAGGGGCCGAGCUGAAUUGGUGUGGGAUUUUAAAUCAUUUCAAUGGUUUAUUUGUCGUAAGUCCAUUUUGAUGCCUACUGCAGAUUUUCUGCCCAGCUUCUUCUUGCAAAUGAGAUCUAAAGGGUUUCAAUCUGGUUAAAUAAAGGAAAUUAAACAAUGUUGUCAACAAACCAGACUCAAUUAAUGGUGAUACAAAACAAGAUCAAAGCAGAUGACAUGCUGAUAAAUUAACCAUUUGCUCAUUGUGGAACAUUUAAUCAAGCCGAGA
Poecilia latipinna (sailfin molly) is the source of this 514-nucleotide long non-coding RNA. RefSeq lists it as uncharacterized. Lineage: Eukaryota; Metazoa; Chordata; Actinopteri; Cyprinodontiformes; Poeciliidae. The record is from RefSeq and is a predicted model, not a curated record. The transcript has 2 exons.